RNAcentral lists this ribosomal RNA (453 nucleotides) under Triticum aestivum (bread wheat). Its description in RNAcentral is "partial small subunit ribosomal RNA". Lineage: Eukaryota; Viridiplantae; Streptophyta; Magnoliopsida; Poales; Poaceae. The record is from RNAcentral.
AUGAGGGGGAAAGUCGGUGAUUCCAUCGAAAUUGAUGAUAUAGAAGCUGAUGUGUUCAACUCCUUGCUCCAUUUCAUCUACAAGGACUCACUCCCUGAGAGCACUAAUGAAGGUGUAACACAAGAUGAUGUAGUGACAGCUAGCCAUCUACUUGUAGCGGCAGACAGGUACGACAUCGAGAGGCUGAAGUUUAUAUGUGAGGACAAACUGUGCAAUAAUAUUGACUGCAACAUGGUUGCAACUAGUUUGGCUUUGAUCGAGCAUCACAGUUGCGAUGGGCUCAAGGAGGCUUGCUUUGAGUUCCUUGCAUCUCCGUCCAAUCCGGAGAGGGUGAUCGCAACUGAGGGUUACCAACAUCUAAAAAGCAGUUGCCCAUCUAUUCUCAAAGAGUUGAUUGCUAGACUCUUACCUGUUGAGCUGACAGCAGCCAGGGAUAUUAUCAGGUCAAUGUGA